GACGAACGCUGGCGGCGUGCCUAAUACAUGCAAGUUGAGCGCUGAAGGUUGGUUCUUGUACCAACUGGAUGAGCAGCGAACGGGUGAGUAACGCGUGGGGAAUCUGCCUUUGAGCGGGGGACAACAUUUGGAAACGAAUGCUAAUACCGCAUAAAAUCUUUAAACUUAAGUUUUAAGUUUGAAAGAUGCCACUGCAUCACUCACACAUGAUCCCGCGUGGUAUUAGCUAGUUGGUGAGGUAAAGGCUCACCAAGGCGAUGAUACAUAGCCGACCUGAGAGGGUGAUCAGCCAGAUUGGGACUGAGACACGGCCCAAACGCCUACGGGAGGCAGCAGUAGGGAAUCUUCGGCAAGGGACGAAAGACAGACCGAGAAACGCCGCGUGAGUGAAGAGGGAUGUCGGAUCGUAAAACUCUGUUGGUAGAGAAGAACGUGGGUGAGAGUGGAAAGCUCAGCAAGUGACGGUAACUACCCAGAAAGGGACGGCUAACUACGUG
Molecule: ribosomal RNA, 497 nt
Filed under: uncultured bacterium
Lineage: Bacteria
Description: partial 16S ribosomal RNA
Rfam family: Bacterial small subunit ribosomal RNA
Source: RNAcentral